This 442-nucleotide ribosomal RNA is filed under the name uncultured soil bacterium. Its description in RNAcentral is "bacterial SSU rRNA". It matches the Rfam family "Bacterial small subunit ribosomal RNA", at positions 26 to 518 of the family's 1533-position model. The record is from RNAcentral.
AGAACGAACGCUGGCGGCAGGCUUAACACAUGCAAGUCGAACGCACCGCAAGGUGAGUGGCAGACGGGUGAGUAACGCGUGGGAAUCUACCCAACCCUUCGGAAUAGCUCCGGGAAACUGGAAUUAAUACCGAGUACGCCCUACGGGGGAAAGAUUUAUCGGGGUUGGAUGAGCCCGCGUUGGAUUAGCUAGUUGGUGGGGUAAUGGCCUACCAAGGCGACGAUCCAUAGCUGGUCUGAGAGGAUGAUCAGCCACACUGGGACUGAGACACGGCCCAGACUCCUACGGGAGGCAGCAGUGGGGAAUAUUGGACAAUGGGCGCAAGCCUGAUCCAGCCAUGCCGCGUGAGUGAUGAAGGCCCUAGGGUUGUAAAGCUCUUUCGAGUGGGAAGAUAAUGACGGUACCACAGAAGAACGCCCGCUAACUUCGUGCCAGCAGCCGC